CUCUGGCCUCAAAUCAGGUAGGACUACCCGCUGAACUUAAGCAUAUCAAUAA
This 52-nucleotide ribosomal RNA is filed under the name Apiotrichum xylopini. RNAcentral describes it as "partial 28S ribosomal RNA". Lineage: Eukaryota; Fungi; Basidiomycota; Tremellomycetes; Trichosporonales; Trichosporonaceae. The record is from RNAcentral.